UGGUCAAUAGCCGAAAGGCUGAACCAGCAACUUGAUGGAAUGAAGAAUCGAGGUCAUUCUCGGUUACCAUAUUAAAAGAAUGUGGGGCAAUACUGCUAAUAAUUCGAGGUAAAUUUUGAUAAUGACAUUAUUUAUUUCCCGGUCUUGACCAACUCAUGUGCCAGCAGUCGCGGUAAGACAUGGAAGGCUAGCGUUAUUCAUCUUUAUUAGGUUUAAAGGGUACCUAGACGGUAGAUAUUAGCCUUUAUCUUUAAAGAUAAUUGUACUUUGUUUACUAGAGUUUAAUGAAAGGAAUUCAGAACGGUGAGUGUAGGGAUAGAAUCUUUUGAUACCACUUAGAAACUGGUUUAGGUGAAGACAGAUUCCUAUGUAAAAACUGACGUUGAGGGACGAAGGCUCAAUAAAAGAAAUGGGAUUAGUUACCCCGGUACUAAGGGCAGACAAUGAUGAAUGCCAUAUUUAAGAAGAAGAUUUUUUAAAUAUAAAUGAAAGUGAAAGCAUUCCACCUCAAGAGUAAUAUGGCAACAUAUAAACUGAAAUCACUAGGCCGUUUCUGGAAUUCGUAGUGAAGUAUGUUAUUUAAUUUGAUGACCCACAAAGGACCUUACCACAAUGUGUAUAGUUUUGUACGUAAGUACAUUUCGGACAAGUGUUGCACGGCUGUCCGCAGUUGAUAUCGUGAGAAUUGAUUAACUUCAGUAAUUAACGCAAUCCCUGACUUUACUUAGAGUAAAGUACUAAUUUCGGUAGAUGAACCCUUUCCGAAUUUAAUAUAUGGGAGUAUGACAAGUCAUCAUGGCCAAACAUAAAAAAUGAUAGUAUUGUGGGCGAUAGACGUGCCACAUUUAAC
RNAcentral lists this ribosomal RNA (850 nucleotides) under Sporocybomyces leucotrichoides. Its description in RNAcentral is "SSU rRNA". It matches the Rfam family "Bacterial small subunit ribosomal RNA", at positions 365 to 1235 of the family's 1533-position model. Lineage: Eukaryota; Fungi; Ascomycota; Lecanoromycetes; Ostropales; Graphidaceae. The record is from RNAcentral.